This 498-nucleotide ribosomal RNA is filed under the name uncultured bacterium. RNAcentral describes it as "partial 16S ribosomal RNA". It matches the Rfam family "Bacterial small subunit ribosomal RNA", at positions 29 to 523 of the family's 1533-position model. The record is from RNAcentral.
AGUGAACGCUGGCGGUAGGCCUUACACAUGCAAGUCGAACGGUAACAGGUCUUCGGAUGCUGACGAGUGGCGAACGGGUGAGUAAUACAUCGGAACGUGCCUAGUAGUGGGGGAUAACUACUCGAAAGAGUGGCUAAUACCGCAUGAGAUCUACGGAUGAAAGCAGGGGAUCGCAAGACCUUGUGCUACUAGAGCGGCCGAUGGCAGAUUAGGUAGUUGGUGGGAUAAAAGCUUACCAAGCCGACGAUCUGUAGCUGGUCUGAGAGGACGAUCAGCCACACUGGGACUGAGAAACGGCCCAGACUCCUACGGGAGGCAGCAGUGGGGAAUUUUGGACAAUGGGCGCAAGCCUGAUCCAGCAAUGCCGCGUGCAGGAUGAAGGCCUUCGGGUUGUAAACUGCUUUUGUACGGAACGAAAAGCCCCGGGUUAAUACCCUGGGGUCAUGACGGUACCCAAAGAAUAAGCACCGGCUAACUUCGUGCCAGCAGCCGCCGUAA